ACCUGGCUGGCUCAGUCAGUAAAGCACAAGACUCUUGAUCUCGGGGUCGUGAGUUCAAGCCCCAUGCUGGGUG
This 73-nucleotide transfer RNA is filed under the name Ailuropoda melanoleuca (giant panda). It matches the Rfam family "tRNA". From Rfam's summary of the family: Transfer RNA (tRNA) molecules are approximately 80 nucleotides in length. Their secondary structure includes four short double-helical elements and three loops (D, anti-codon, and T loops). Further hydrogen bonds mediate the characteristic L-shaped molecular structure. tRNAs have two regions of fundamental functional importance: the anti-codon, which is responsible for specific mRNA codon recognition, and the 3' end, to which the tRNAs corresponding amino acid is attached (by aminoacyl-tRNA synthetases). tRNAs cope with the degeneracy of the genetic code in two manners: having more than one tRNA (with a specific anti-codon) for a particular amino acid; and 'wobble' base-pairing, i.e. permitting non-standard base-pairing at the 3rd anti-codon position. The record is from Rfam by way of RNAcentral. Lineage: Eukaryota; Metazoa; Chordata; Mammalia; Carnivora; Ursidae.